AUCUACAGCCAUACCAACCUGGUCUUACACUAUAUGACACCUCAUAAACUAAGCAGGAUUGGGUUUGCUCAGUACUUGAAUGGGAACACUUUGAGGACAACUCACAUGAUU
RNAcentral lists this ribosomal RNA (111 nucleotides) under Chelonoidis abingdonii (Abingdon island giant tortoise). The record is from RNAcentral. Lineage: Eukaryota; Metazoa; Chordata; Testudines; Testudinidae.